Small nucleolar RNA from Vombatus ursinus (common wombat), 88 nucleotides. Lineage: Eukaryota; Metazoa; Chordata; Mammalia; Diprotodontia; Vombatidae. The record is from Ensembl.
GAGACUAUGAUGAUGCUGAUAUUUAUCACAUGUUCGAGUUCUACCGACCAUGAGAUGAAAAGCUCCAUGCACCUCCAUCUGAGAUCUC